This 3225-nucleotide ribosomal RNA is filed under the name Nocardioides luti. RNAcentral's name for it is "Nocardioides sp. KIGAM211 23S ribosomal RNA". It matches the Rfam family "Bacterial large subunit ribosomal RNA". Lineage: Bacteria; Bacillati; Actinomycetota; Actinomycetes; Propionibacteriales; Nocardioidaceae. The record is from RNAcentral.
GACAAGCUAUGAAGGGCACAUGGUGGAUGCCUUGGCAUCGAGAGCCGAUGAAGGACGUAGGAGCCUGCGAUAAGCCCUGGGGAGUUGGCAACCGAGCUGUGAUCCGGGGGUGUCCGAAUGGGGAAACCCAGCUGGAGUCAUGUCCAGUUACCCGCGCCUGAAUAUAUAGGGCGUGUGGAGGGAACGUGGGGAAGUGAAACAUCUCAGUACCCACAGGAAGAGAAAACAACAGUGAUUCCGAGAGUAGUGGCGAGCGAAAUCGGAACAGGCUAAACCUCAUGCGUGUGAUAGCCGGCGGGCGUUGCGUAUGGGGGGUUGUGGGAUCAUUCUAUUCAUUCUGCCGGAUGAGUGAGCAGUAAGAAAUCUCAGUUGAAGUUGAAGUCCAUUGGAAAGUGGCGCCGUAGAGGGUGAUAGCCCCGUAAGUGUAAGGCUGGGACUGCUGAGUGAUAUCCCAAGUAACACGGAACCCCUGAAAUUCCGUGUGAAUCUGGCGGGACCACCCGUUAAGCCUAAAUACUCCUCGAUGACCGAUAGCGGACAAGUACCGUGAGGGAAAGGUGAAAAGUACCCCUGGCGGGGAGUGAAAUAGUACCUGAAACCAUGUGCCUACAAUCCGUCGGAGCGAUGCCCUUGUGGUGUUGUGACGGCGUGCCUUUUGAAGAAUGAGCCUGCGAGUUUGCGUUGUGUUGCGAGGUUAACCCGUGUGGGGAAGCCGUAGCGAAAGCGAGUCCUAAUAGGGCUACUUAGUAGCACGAUCAAGACCCGAAGCGAAGUGAUCUAUCCAUGGGCAGGUUGAAGCGUCGGUAAGACGACGUGGAGGACCGAACCCACUUAGGUUGAAAACUGAGGGGAUGACCUGUGGAUAGGGGUGAAAGGCCAAUCAAACUUCGUGAUAGCUGGUUCUCCCCGAAAUGCAUUUAGGUGCAGCGUCACGUGUUUCUUGCCGGAGGUAGAGCACUGGAUAGCUAAUGGGCCCUACAAGGUUACUGACGUUAGCCAAACUCCGAAUGCCGGUAAGUGAGAGCGUGGCAGUGAGACAGUGGGGGAUAAGCUCCAUUGUCGAGAGGGAAACAGCCCAGACCAUCAGCUAAGGCCCCUAAGCGGUGACUAAGUGGAAAAGGAUGUGGAGUCGCAGUGACAACCAGGAGGUUGGCUUGGAAGCAGCCACCCUUGAAAGAGUGCGUAAUAGCUCACUGGUCAAGUGAUUCCGCGCCGACAAUGUAGCGGGGCUCAAGUCAUCCGCCGAAGCUAUGGCAUUCGCACGUAUAGCUAAGCCGCCCUUGAGGUUGGUUCAGGUGUGUGGAUGGGUAGGGGAGCGUCGUGUCGCGAGUGAAGCAGCGGAGUGAUCCAGUUGUGGACGCGACACGAGUGAGAAUGCAGGCAUGAGUAGCGAAUCACGUGUGAGAAACACGUGCGCCGAAUGAUCAAGGGUUCCAGGGUCAAGCUAAUCUGCCCUGGGUAAGUCGGGACCUAAGGCGAGGCCGACAGGCGUAGUCGAUGGACAACGGGUUGAUAUUCCCGUACCGGCAAAGUAGCGCCCAUGACGAACCUGGUGAUGCUAACCACCCGAAACUUCCGUUAUCUGUUUCCUUCGGGGAGCAGAGGCGGUUGCGGAGCGUGGGACCCGAUCUGGUAGUAGUCAAGCGAUGGGGUGACGCAGGAAGGUAGUCCAACCGUACCGAUGGUUGUGUACGGCUAAGCAUGUAGGGCGAGAUCUAGGCAAAUCCGGAUCUCUGACUUUGAUGUCGAGCUUGAGAUGUGAUGGGGAGCCCGUUGGGGUGAAGUGGAUGAUCCUAUGCUGUCGAGAAAAACCUCUAGCGAGCUACGCGCCGCCCGUACCCCAAACCGACUCAGGUGAUCAGGUAGAGAAUACUAAGGCGAUCGAGCAAACCAUGGUUAAGGAACUCGGCAAAAUGCCCCCGUAACUUCGGGAGAAGGGGGGCCCGGAUCGUGUACCCACUUGCUGGGGAAGCGUGAAGGGCCGCAGAGACCAGGCCCAAGCGACUGUUUACUAAAAACACAGGUCCGUGCGAAGUUGUAAGACGAUGUAUACGGACUGACUCCUGCCCGGUGCUGGAAGGUUAAGGGGACCGGUAAGACUNNNNNNNNNNNNNNNNNNNNNNNNNNNNNNNNNNNNNNNNNNNNNNNNNNNNNNNNNNNNNNNNNNNNNNNNNNNNNNNNNNNNNNNNNNNNNNNNCGAGUCGAAGCUGAGAACUUAAGCCCCAGUAAACGGCGGUGGUAACUAUAACCAUCCUAAGGUAGCGAAAUUCCUUGUCGGGUAAGUUCCGACCUGCACGAAUGGAGUAACGACUUGGGCGCUGUCUCAACCGUGGACUCGGCGAAAUUGCACUACGAGUAAAGAUGCUCGUUACGCGCGGCAGGACGGAAAGACCCCGGGACCUUUACUAUAGUUUGGUAUUGGUGUUUGGUUCGGCUUGUGUAGGAUAGGUGGGAGACUGUGAAGCGGCCACGCCAGUGGUUGUGGAGUCAACGUUGAAAUACCACUCUGGUCGUACUAGAUGUCUAACCUAGGUCCAUUAUCUGGAUCAGGGACAGUGCCUGAUGGGUAGUUUAACUGGGGCGGUUGCCUCCUAAAAUGUAACGGAGGCGCUCAAAGGUUCCCUCAGCCUGGUUGGCAAUCAGGUGUUGAGUGUAAGUGCACAAGGGAGCUUGACUGUGAGACAGACAUGUCGAGCAGGGACGAAAGUCGGAACUAGUGAUCCGGCGCCAGCAGGUGGAAGCGGCGUCGCUCAACGGAUAAAAGGUACCCCGGGGAUAACAGGCUGAUCUUCCCCAAGAGUCCAUAUCGACGGGAUGGUUUGGCACCUCGAUGUCGGCUCGUCGCAUCCUGGGGCUGGAGUAGGUCCCAAGGGUUGGGCUGUUCGCCCAUUAAAGCGGCACGCGAGCUGGGUUUAGAACGUCGUGAGACAGUUCGGUCCCUAUCCGCCGCGCGCGCAGGAAACUUGAGAAAGGCUGUCCCUAGUACGAGAGGACCGGGAUGGACGAACCUCUGGUGUGCCAGUUGUCCCGCCAGGGGCACGGCUGGUUAGCUACGUUCGGAAGUGAUAACCGCUGAAUGCAUCUAAGCGGGAAGCACGUUUCAAGAUGAGGUUUCCCACCGGGUUAACCGGGUAAGGCCCCCAGCAGAACACUGGGUUGAUAGGCCGGAGGUGUACAGCAGCAAUGCCUAGCCGACCGGUACUAAUAGGCCGAGGGCUUGUCUUA